This 510-nucleotide ribosomal RNA is filed under the name Drosophila polliciforma. Its description in RNAcentral is "partial 16S ribosomal RNA". It matches the Rfam family "Bacterial large subunit ribosomal RNA", at positions 1819 to 2597 of the family's 2925-position model. The record is from RNAcentral. Lineage: Eukaryota; Metazoa; Arthropoda; Insecta; Diptera; Drosophilidae.
GUCUUUUUGAAUUAAAUUUAAAGUCUAACCUGCCCACUGAGAAUUUUAAAUGGCCGCAGUAUUCUAACUGUGCAAAGGUAGCAUAGUCAUUAGUCUUUUAAUUGAAGGCUGGAAUGAAUGGUUGGACGAAAUAUUAACUGUUUCAUUUAAAUUUUUUAUAGAAUUUUAUUUUUUAGUCAAAAAGCUAAAAUAAAUUUAAAAGACGAGAAGACCCUAUAAAUCUUUAUAUUUUGUUUAUUUUAGUUAUAAAGAUUAUUUUUAUUAUAAUAAAUUAAAAUAUUUUAUUGGGGUGAUAUUAAAAUUUAAAAAACUUUUAAUUUUUAAAACCAUUAAUUUAUGAAUAAUUGAUCCAUUAAUAAUGAUUAAAAAUUUAAGUUACUUUAGGGAUAACAGCGUAAUUUUUUUGGAGAGUUCAUAUCGAUAAAAAAGAUUGCGACCUCGAUGUUGGAUUAAGAUAUAAUUUUGGGUGUAGCCGUUCAAAUUUUAAGUCUGUUCGACUUUUAAAUUCUU